GUGUGUGUGUGUCCUCUUCUCUGUGGGAGUAGACACCUGAAGACACGCUACAGUAAAAUGUAAACAAUACAAAGGAGUUAUCAGGGUCACCAGUCUCAAAGUACAGGCUGAGGCGGUAGUAUAAUACUCCUACACUU
Boleophthalmus pectinirostris (great blue-spotted mudskipper) is the source of this 137-nucleotide small nucleolar RNA. RefSeq annotates it as small nucleolar RNA U109. Lineage: Eukaryota; Metazoa; Chordata; Actinopteri; Gobiiformes; Gobiidae. The transcript has a single exon. The record is from RefSeq and is a predicted model, not a curated record.